This 524-nucleotide ribosomal RNA is filed under the name Bacillus cereus. RNAcentral's name for it is "bacterial SSU rRNA". It matches the Rfam family "Bacterial small subunit ribosomal RNA", at positions 56 to 561 of the family's 1533-position model. Lineage: Bacteria; Bacillati; Bacillota; Bacilli; Caryophanales; Bacillaceae. The record is from RNAcentral.
UGCAGUCGAGCGAAUGGAUUAAGAGCUUGCUCUUAUGAAGUUAGCGGCGGACGGGUGAGUAACACGUGGGUAACCUGCCCAUAAGACUGGGAUAACUCCGGGAAACCGGGGCUAAUACCGGAUAACAUUUUGAACCGCAUGGUUCGAAAUUGAAAGGCGGCUUCGGCUGUCACUUAUGGAUGGACCCGCGUCGCAUUAGCUAGUUGGUGAGGUAACGGCUCACCAAGGCAACGAUGCGUAGCCGACCUGAGAGGGUGAUCGGCCACACUGGGACUGAGACACGGCCCAGACUCCUACGGGAGGCAGCAGUAGGGAAUCUUCCGCAAUGGACGAAAGUCUGACGGAGCAACGCCGCGUGAGUGAUGAAGGCUUUCGGGUCGUAAAACUCUGUUGUUAGGGAAGAACAAGUGCUAGUUGAAUAAGCUGGCACCUUGACGGUACCUAACCAGAAAGCCACGGCUAACUACGUGCCAGCAGCCGCGGUAAUACGUAGGUGGCAAGCGUUAUCCGGAAUUAUUGGGCGU